RNAcentral lists this signal recognition particle RNA (242 nucleotides) under uncultured Faecousia sp. RNAcentral's name for it is "Bacterial large signal recognition particle RNA". It matches the Rfam family "Bacterial large signal recognition particle RNA". Rfam says of the family: The signal recognition particle (SRP) is a universally conserved ribonucleoprotein involved in the co-translational targeting of proteins to membranes. Archaeal SRP consists of a 7S RNA and homologues of the eukaryotic SRP19 and SRP54 proteins. In most bacteria, the SRP consists of a 4.5S RNA and the Ffh protein (a homologue of the eukaryotic SRP54 protein). Lineage: Bacteria; Bacillati; Bacillota; Clostridia; Eubacteriales; Oscillospiraceae. The record is from RNAcentral.
CGCACUAGUCGGGGAGUUAGCGGUGCCCUGUACCUGCAAACCGCUACAGCAGGGAUGAAUUCCCACACCCGGUUAGGUGUAAUGUACCACCGGCCCGUGUAAGAGGUGUUGAGAAAUCGGUCUUGCGCAAUGAGAUCCCGUGAACCAUGUCAGGUGGGGAACCAAGCAGCAUUAAGCGGAUCUUCUCGUGUGCCGCAGGAUUGCCGAUUUUGAGCUUUCUGCACGGCUCUGGGGGUGUGUUG